This 626-nucleotide ribosomal RNA is filed under the name uncultured archaeon. Its description in RNAcentral is "partial 16S ribosomal RNA". The record is from RNAcentral.
GUGCUCCCCCGCCAAUUCCUCAGGGGAAUGCUGCUUCGUCCCAGACAGCCGCACCGCCCACAAUCACCCUGCAGGACGCACUACGACUGGCGAAGAACAACAAUCCCCAGUUACAAGCGGCAAUAACCGAGGCCGGAGUUGCGCACCAGGACAAAGUGCAGGCGCGAGCCGCGCUCAUGCCAAGCGUGAACUACAACACGCAAUACCUUUACACCCAAGGCAACGGCACGCCCGCGGGACGCUAUGUCGCUAACAACGGGGUGCACGAAUACUUGGCGCAGGGGAAUGCCCAUGAGGCGGUGUCGGCGGCGAAUUUUGCUGAUUUUCGCCGCACCCGGGCGGCGGAGGCGGUUGCCAAAGCGCGGGCAGAGGUUGCAGCGCGAGGCUUGGUCGUCACUGUGGUUCAGAGUUACUACACGUUAGUUGUGUCGCAACGGAAAUACGCCACUGCACAGCGGGCUGCGAAUGAAGGAGAGCGUUUCUUCAAAAUUACGCAGCAACUGGAGCAAGGCGGCGAAGUGGCGCAUUCGGACGUGGUGAAGGCAGAGAUCCAGUACCAGCAGGUGAAACGGGAUCUUCAGGAAUCUCAACUCGGAAUGCAAAGGGCCCGGCAGGAUCAACCGGAG